UCAAGGUGUAUAUCGCCCUUGCUGCGGUUAAAAAGCUCGUAGUUGGAUCUGCGCCUUCGGACUCGGUCCGCCCAACGGGUGUGAACUGGGAUCCAAGGCUUAUACUGCUGGUUUUCCCUUGAUGCUCUUUACUGGGUGUCUUGGGUGGCUAGCGAGUUUACUUUGAAAAAAUUAGAGUGCUUAACACAGGCUAACGCCUGAAUACUUGUGCAUGGAAUAAUAGAAUAAGACCACGGUUCUAUUUUAUUGGUUUUCGGAACUGUGAUAAUGGUUAAGAGGGACAGACGGGGGCAUUCGUAUCGCUGCGUGAGAGGUGAAAUUCUUGGACCGCAGCGAGACGCCCUACUGCGAAAGCAUUUGCCAAGGAUGUUUUCAUUGA
Molecule: ribosomal RNA, 379 nt
Filed under: uncultured eukaryote
Lineage: Eukaryota
Description: partial 18S ribosomal RNA
Rfam family: Eukaryotic small subunit ribosomal RNA
Source: RNAcentral